GGACUACCGGGGUAUCUAAUCCGCUUUGCUCCCCACGCUUUCAUGCCUCAACGUCAGUAGCAGAAUAGUUAACUGCCUUCGCUAUAUUGGUGUUCUUUUAUAUAUCUACGCAUUUUACCGCUCCACAUAAAGUUCCGUUAACCUCUCCUGCACUCAAGUUCGACAGUAUUACCAACUUCCACGAGGUUGGGCCUCGAUUUACCACCAGUAACUUAUCGAACCGUCUACGCAUCCUUUACGCCCAAUAAUUCCGGAUAACGUUUGCCACCUAUGUCUUACCGCGGCUGCUGGCAC
Molecule: ribosomal RNA, 294 nt
Filed under: uncultured bacterium
Lineage: Bacteria
Description: partial 16S ribosomal RNA
Source: RNAcentral